ACGUUAUUCGGAAUCACUGGGCUUAAAGCGCGUGUAGGCGGGAGGGAACGUCGGCCGCUGAAAUCCCCCGGCUUAACCGGGGAAGUGGCGCCGAUACGGCCGUCCUGGAGGGACGUAGGGGGAGCUGGAACUUCCGGUGGAGCGGUGAAAUGCGUUGAGAUCGGAAGGAACGCCCGCGGCGAAAGCGAGCUCCUGGACGUCUGCUGACGCUGAGACGCGAAAGCCA
This 226-nucleotide ribosomal RNA is filed under the name uncultured bacterium. RNAcentral describes it as "partial 16S ribosomal RNA". It matches the Rfam family "Bacterial small subunit ribosomal RNA", at positions 538 to 762 of the family's 1533-position model. The record is from RNAcentral.